CCUACGGGAGGCAGCAGUGAGGAAUAUUGGUCAAUGGGCGUAAGCCUGAACCAGCCAAGUCGCGUGAGGGAUGAAGGUUCUAUGGAUCGUAAACCUCUUUUAUAAGGGAAUAAAGAGUGGGACGUGUCCUAUUUUGUAUGUACCUUAUGAAUAAGGAUCGGCUAACUCCGUGCCAGCAGCCGCGGUAAUACGGAGGAUCCGAGCGUUAUCCGGAUUUAUUGGGUUUAAAGGGUGCGUAGGCGGCCUUUUAAGUCAGCGGUGAAAGUCAGUGGCUCAACCAUGGAAUUGCCGUUGAUACUGGGGGGCUAGAGAGUGUUUGAGGCAGGCGGAAUGCGUGGUGUAGCGGUGAAAUGCUUAGAUAUCACGCAGAACCCCGAUUGCGAAGGCAGCCUGCCAAGCCAUGACUGACGCUGAUGCACGAAAGCGUGGGGAGCAAACAGGAUUAGAUACCCGUGUAGUC
Molecule: ribosomal RNA, 460 nt
Filed under: uncultured bacterium
Lineage: Bacteria
Description: partial 16S ribosomal RNA
Rfam family: Bacterial small subunit ribosomal RNA
Source: RNAcentral